AUUGUAGUCAUAUGCUUGUCUCAAAGAUUAAGCCAUGCAUGUCUAAGUGCAAGGCCAUUUAGGCCGAAACCGCGAACGGCUCAUUACAACAGGCAUAAUCUACCGGGAGUUCCUUUACAUGGAUAACUCUGUCGACCCAGAGCUAAUACAUGCACAAAAGCCCUGCCUUAUGGCGGGGUGCAUCUAUUAUACCAAAACUAACCAGGCUUUGCCUGCAGUUUGGUGACUCUGAAUAGAGAGUUAAUGGCGCAGUCUUAGCACUGGCCAUGUUCCCGUCGAGUGUCUGCCUUAUCAACUUUCGAUGGUAGUUUAUGUGCCUACCAUGGUUGCAACGGGUAACGGGGAAUAAU
This 350-nucleotide ribosomal RNA is filed under the name uncultured eukaryote. RNAcentral's name for it is "bacterial SSU rRNA". It matches the Rfam family "Eukaryotic small subunit ribosomal RNA", at positions 21 to 373 of the family's 1831-position model. The record is from RNAcentral.